RNAcentral lists this transfer RNA (72 nucleotides) under Dipodomys ordii (Ord's kangaroo rat). It matches the Rfam family "tRNA". Rfam says of the family: Transfer RNA (tRNA) molecules are approximately 80 nucleotides in length. Their secondary structure includes four short double-helical elements and three loops (D, anti-codon, and T loops). Further hydrogen bonds mediate the characteristic L-shaped molecular structure. tRNAs have two regions of fundamental functional importance: the anti-codon, which is responsible for specific mRNA codon recognition, and the 3' end, to which the tRNAs corresponding amino acid is attached (by aminoacyl-tRNA synthetases). tRNAs cope with the degeneracy of the genetic code in two manners: having more than one tRNA (with a specific anti-codon) for a particular amino acid; and 'wobble' base-pairing, i.e. permitting non-standard base-pairing at the 3rd anti-codon position. The record is from Rfam by way of RNAcentral. Lineage: Eukaryota; Metazoa; Chordata; Mammalia; Rodentia; Heteromyidae.
GGAGGUAUGGCUCAGAGGUAGAGUGUCUGCAUAGCAAGCAGCAAGUUCUGAGUUCAAACCCUAGUUCUACCA